This 332-nucleotide small nuclear RNA is filed under the name Mus caroli (Ryukyu mouse). RNAcentral describes it as "sRNA (MGP_CAROLIEiJ_G0008835.1)". It matches the Rfam family "7SK RNA". From Rfam's summary of the family: 7SK was discovered as an abundant small nuclear RNA in the mid-70s but a possible function has only recently been suggested. The record is from RNAcentral. Lineage: Eukaryota; Metazoa; Chordata; Mammalia; Rodentia; Muridae.
CGAUGUGAGAGUGAUCUGGCUGCACAUCUGUCACCCCAGUGACCAUUGCUCAGGGUAGAUUUGGCUGAUCUGGCUAACUAGGCAGUGUUCCCUUCCCCCCCUUACCACUCCAGAGGACAACAUUCCCCGAAUACAGGAGAAGCGGUCUUCAGUCAAGGGCACAUAGCUGUGCUCUCCUGCUAGAACUUCCAAACAAGCCCACAUGUGCAUAGGUGCGCCAAUAUGCCCACACACAGACUACACAAGGUAAACAAAUGCAUGCUUGUAAAAGUAUCAAAAAUAUAGGCGAAAUUGAAAUAUUGUGGUGAAUUCUCUUCCUAUACUGGACAUUC